Molecule: long non-coding RNA, 559 nt
Organism: Rosa rugosa (rugosa rose)
Lineage: Eukaryota; Viridiplantae; Streptophyta; Magnoliopsida; Rosales; Rosaceae
Exons: 3
Source: RefSeq, a predicted model, not a curated record
UUCAGAUCCGACCGUUGGAUCAUCGUUUAAUUUGAAUCUGAGCGUUGGAUCGUCGUUUAAUUACAUAUUUGAGUUGUUGGCUAAGUCAAGAUCAUUAUUGGACUAGGUGAUUGACGGUUUGAGUUGGUGGACGAUUGUGGAUCGUAUUUUGAGCUGAAUUGAAGACGCAGCGGGAUUAUCGAGCGGGUAAUCCUACAGGACAGGAGAACCAGGACGGUGAUCGUGCGGUUAGAGCAAUUGUUAGAGUUUUACAACAAUUGUAAGUUGUGAGGUGUGUUAUGCUCAUUUGAGCUUUAUAAUAUAUUGUGAGAGUGAAUUGUAAUAAUGAACUCGAAGUUUCGAGAUUUGUUUUUUUUUGUAAUUGUAAUUAUUCAGGUUUCGGAUUUGAAUUUAUCAUUCAAAAUCCGGGGCGUGACAACACAAAUCUCACUAAAAAGGUGUUUCUAAUUUCACCAAUUUGUACAAAUGGAACAAAACGACGAUUAUCAAGAACAAUUCAAUAUCAUUGUACUUACCCAUCGAAGUUGUAUUGUCAAUAUUUGAAUUUUGAUAAGGAAAC